AACGAACGCUGGCGGCAUGCCUAACACAUGCAAGUCGAACGAGACCUUCGGGUCUAGUGGCGCACGGGUGCGUAACGCGUGGGAACCUGCCCUUAGGUUCGGAAUAACUCCCCGAAAGGGGUGCUAAUACCGGAUAAUGUCUUCGGACCAAAGAUUUAUCGCCUUUGGAUGGGCCCGCGUUGGAUUAGCUAGUUGGUAGGGUAAAAGCCUACCAAGGCGACGAUCCAUAGCUGGUCUGAGAGGAUGAUCCGCCACACUGGGACUGAGACACGGCCCAGACUCCUACGGGAGGCAGCAGUGGGGAAUAUUGGACAAUGGGCGAAAGCCUGAUCCAGCAAUGCCGCGUGAGUGAUGAAGGCCUUAGGGUUGUAAAGCUCUUUUACCCGGGAUGAUAAUGACAGUACCGGGAGAAUAAGCGCCGGCUAACUCCGUG
Molecule: ribosomal RNA, 433 nt
Filed under: uncultured bacterium
Lineage: Bacteria
Description: partial 16S ribosomal RNA
Rfam family: Bacterial small subunit ribosomal RNA
Source: RNAcentral